GGCAACAUAAAAGGAGCCGAUCUCAUUACUGGGGCCCGGACACAUUAUUUUCUCCAAGGAAUUUCUUCUUUUCAUUAUUUCUCUCCAAAGUCCUUAGGUUGGUUGGAUUCUGCUGGUCUGAAGGCAUGGAGAUCGCCUGGGAAGAGAAAACCUGGGGCAGCCCGCGUCUACAUGGCAGCUGGUCAGGGCAGGACAGUGCACAGACCCUCAACAAGUGAAGCCAGUCAAAACACUUCCCCUGACAAAACCAGUGGAAUAGUGUGUUUGUAAAACCGAUGGCGUUUUUGUUGACAGGCAAAUGUCUACAUCGCAUGGCAACAAACGGCUGGAAGAUGCAAAAAUGCAGUCAAUCAUCAGGGAUUUCUUUUCCCGCCUCUCUUUAAAAAAGAAAAGCUCUCCCACCACCAUACAGGAUGAGUGAUGUCUGCAUGGUGUUUGAAGAUCUUCCUCCCUGAUCAAGCAAGUUCCUGAGGCUCAGUCUGGAGACCCAGGGGCAGCCCAAGUCUGACUGAACCAAACAGGGCAGGGUUGUCAGGAUCUUCUCAGGAAGUGGGGAUUGGCUCUGAAUUUCCCACUGACUUUGAGAAAUGCAGCAUUCUUCAAACUCUGAUGUGCUUAGAACC
RNAcentral lists this long non-coding RNA (623 nucleotides) under Sus scrofa (pig). RNAcentral's name for it is "lncRNA (ENSSSCG00070000766.1)". Lineage: Eukaryota; Metazoa; Chordata; Mammalia; Artiodactyla; Suidae. The record is from RNAcentral.